GCUGGGCACGGUGGCGCACGCCUGUAAUCCCAGUGGCAUGGGAGGCUGAGAUGGGAGGCUGAGACGGGAGGAUCUCGAGUUCAAAGCCAGCCUUAGCAAAAGGGAGGUGCUAACCAACUCAGUGAGACCCUGUCUCUA
Molecule: small RNA, 138 nt
Filed under: Marmota monax (woodchuck)
Lineage: Eukaryota; Metazoa; Chordata; Mammalia; Rodentia; Sciuridae
Source: RNAcentral